Molecule: non-coding RNA, 816 nt
Organism: Cyanistes caeruleus (blue tit)
Lineage: Eukaryota; Metazoa; Chordata; Aves; Passeriformes; Paridae
Source: RefSeq, a predicted model, not a curated record
GAAAGAGGAGCUGCAGUCGGGUGUCAGAAAUGCUGAGUCGCAACGGGAGAGUGCCGCAUCCGAUGGAAAUUUACCCAGGAGCCAGCGACCUUCACACGCUGGGGACGAGGACUGAGGGCUUGUAGGGAAAUCCUGCCCUCGCUCACCCACCGCUGUACUACCUCCACGUCACCACCCAGGCAGAACACACCCUGGAAAAGCAGACCAGGAGACGAGCUCCAAGACAGAGUGAGCUGCCAGGACAGGCUCUGUGGCGUGAAACAGGGUACUGCUCUCCAUAGUGUGCAAGGAUGUCUGGCCCCACAGCACUGCCCAGUCCUCAGGAUUACUUGCCUCAGGGCAUAAUCAAUGGCUUUCCCUGCAAGUUCUCAGGCUCUCCGUGAAGGACAAUGAGAAGUGGGGGAGGAUAAGCAAUAAUGCCAGAGGACAAGGGAUACAAGACAGUAAGUAAGAAAAGUGCCCUGACUUCCAAAGACUUGCUCCUGAUUCACACUGCUACAGCCAAGAGGAGAAGGACUCCACAUUAUUGUUCCCAGGAAUGAAUCCUGAAGGUCUCUUGAUCUGUGAAGCAGCUACAGGGAAAUUCGUCGUAGAAACAGUCCCAUUACUGCCUUUUGUCCGCAUGACUCAUAUUGAUCCUGUUAACUGCGACUAACGUAUUUCCUAAGAUAUACUUUCUUAGCUUUAGGCCAAAACUCUCUGGUCCUGCCUCCUUCUUAUGCACAAGUUUUCCUCUAAUUCCUAUUGAUGCUACCCUGCCUGGCACAGAGUGAACCAUCUCCCUUCAUUCCCACAAGCAAGUGCCAUGCAGCCCUG